GGGGGCGUGGCUCAGUGGUAGAGCACUUGCCUAGCAAGUGUGAUCCUGGGUUCUAUCCCCAGCAACUCCC
RNAcentral lists this transfer RNA (70 nucleotides) under Marmota monax (woodchuck). It matches the Rfam family "tRNA". Rfam says of the family: Transfer RNA (tRNA) molecules are approximately 80 nucleotides in length. Lineage: Eukaryota; Metazoa; Chordata; Mammalia; Rodentia; Sciuridae. The record is from Rfam by way of RNAcentral.